This 500-nucleotide ribosomal RNA is filed under the name uncultured bacterium. Its description in RNAcentral is "partial 16S ribosomal RNA". It matches the Rfam family "Bacterial small subunit ribosomal RNA", at positions 30 to 523 of the family's 1533-position model. The record is from RNAcentral.
AUUGAACGCUGGCGGAAUGCUUUACACAUGCAAGUCGAACGGCAGCACGGACUUCGGUCUGGUGGCGAGUGGCGAACGGGUGAGUAACACAUCGGAACGUGCCCAGUCGUGGGGGAUAACGUAGCGAAAGCUACGCUAAUACCGCAUACGAUCUACGGAUGAAAGCGGGGGAUCGCAAGACCUCGCGCGAUUGGAGCGGCCGAUGGCAGAUUAGGUAGUUGGUAGGGGAAAGGCCUACCAAGCCGACGAUCUGUAGCUGGUCUGAGAGGAUGUGCAGACACACUGGGACUGGGACACGGCCCAGACUCCUACGGGAGGCAGCAGUGGGGAAUUUUGGACAAUGGACGCAAGUCUGAUCCAGCCAUUCCGCGUGCAGGAUGAAGGCCCUCGGGUUGUAAACUGCUUUUGUACAGAACGAAAAGGCUCUGGUUAAUACCUGGGGCUCAUGACGGUACUGUAAGAAUAAGCACCGGCUAACUACGUGCCAGCCGCCGCAGUAA